GAACGCUAGCUACAGGCUUAACACAUGCAAGUCGAGGGGCAGCAUUUCAGUUUGCUUGCAAACUGGAGAUGGCGACCGGCGCACGGGUGAGUAACACGUAUCCAACCUGCCGAUAACUCGGGGAUAGCCUUUCGAAAGAAAGAUUAAUACCCGAUGGUAUAAUCAGACCGCAUGGUCUUAUUAUUAAAGAAUUUCGGUUAUCGAUGGGGAUGCGUUCCAUUAGGCAGUUGGUGAGGUAACGGCUCACCAAACCUUCGAUGGAUAGGGGUUCUGAGAGGAAGGUCCCCCACAUUGGAACUGAGACACGGUCCAAACUCCUACGGGAGGCAGCAGUGAGGAAUAUUGGUCAAUGGGCGCAGGCCUGAACCAGCCAAGUAGCGUGAAGGAUGACUGCCCUAUGGGUUGUAAACUUCUUUUAUAUGGGAAUAAAGUUUUCCACGUGUGGAAUUUUGUAUGUACCAUAUGAAUAAGGAUCGGCUAACUCCGUGCCAGCAGCCGCGGUAAUACGGAGGAUCCGAGCGUUAUCCGGAUUUAUUGGGUUUAAAGGGAGCGUAGGUGGACAGUUAAGUCAGUUGUGAAAGUUUGCGGCUCAACCGUAAAAUUGCAGUUGAUACUGGCUGUCUUGAGUACAGUAGAGGUGGGCGGAAUUCGUGGUGUAGCGGUGAAAUGCUUAGAUAUCACGAAGAACUCCGAUUGCGAAGGCAGCUCACUGGACUGCAACUGACACUGAUGCUCGAAAGUGUGGGUAUCAAACAGGAUUAGACACCCUGGUAGUCCACACAGUAAACGAUGAAUACUCGCUGUUUGCGAUAUACAGUAAGCGGCCAAGCGAAAGCAUUAAGUAUUCCACCUGGGGAGUACGCCGGCAACGGUGAAACUCAAAGGAAUUGACGGGGGCCCGCACAAGCGGAGGAACAUGUGGUUUAAUUCGAUGAUACGCGAGGAACCUUACCCGGGCUUAAAUUGCAUUUGAAUAAUCUGGAAACAGGUUAGCCGCAAGGCAAAUGUGAAGGUGCUGCAUGGUUGUCGUCAGCUCGUGCCGUGAGGUGUCGGCUUAAGUGCCAUAACGAGCGCAACCCUUAUCUUUAGUUACUAACAGGUCAUGCUGAGGACUCUAGAGAGACUGCCGUCGUAAGAUGUGAGGAAGGUGGGGAUGACGUCAAAUCAGCACGGCCCUUACGUCCGGGGCUACACACGUGUUACAAUGGGGGGUACAGAAGGCAGCUACCUGGUGACAGGAUGCUAAUCCCAAAAGCCUCUCUCAGUUCGGAUCGAAGUCUGCAACCCGACUUCGUGAAGCUGGAUUCGCUAGUAAUCGCGCAUCAGCCAUGGCGCGGUGAAUACGUUCCCGGGCCUUGUACACACCGCCCGUCAAGCCAUGAAAGCCGGGGGUACCUGAAGUACGUAACCGCAAGGAGCGUCCUAGGGUAAAACUGGUAAAGG
Molecule: ribosomal RNA, 1443 nt
Filed under: uncultured organism
Description: SSU rRNA
Rfam family: Bacterial small subunit ribosomal RNA
Source: RNAcentral